This 67-nucleotide transfer RNA is filed under the name Dynomene pilumnoides. RNAcentral's name for it is "tRNA-Ile". Lineage: Eukaryota; Metazoa; Arthropoda; Malacostraca; Decapoda; Dynomenidae. The record is from RNAcentral.
AAAUAUAGUGCCUGAUAAAAAGGGUAGCUUUGAUAGAGCUAAUUAUAAAGUCCGACUUUCUAUAUUA